This 499-nucleotide ribosomal RNA is filed under the name uncultured bacterium. RNAcentral's name for it is "partial 16S ribosomal RNA". It matches the Rfam family "Bacterial small subunit ribosomal RNA", at positions 28 to 507 of the family's 1533-position model. The record is from RNAcentral.
GACGAACGCUGGCGGCGUGCCUAAUACAUGCAAGUCGAGCGAAGUUUUUCUGGUGCUUGCACUAGAAAAACUUAGCGGCGAACGGGUGAGUAACACGUAAAGAACCUGCCUCAUAGACUGGGACAACUAUUGGAAACGAUAGCUAAUACCGGAUAACAGUAUUUCUCGCAUGAGAGAUAUUUAAAAGUUGGUUAUGCUAACACUAUGAGAUGGCUUUGCGGUGCAUUAGCUAGUUGGUGGGGUAAAGGCCCACCAAGGCGACGAGGCAUAGCCGACCUGUGAGGGUGAUCGCCCACACUGGGACUUAGACACGCCCCAGACGCCUACGGGAGGCAGCAGUAUGGAACCUUCCGCAAUGGGCGAAAGCCUGACGGAGCAACGCCGCGUGAGUGAAGAAGGAUUUCGGUUCGUAAAGCUCUGUUGUUAGGUAAGAAUGGAUAUGUAGUAACUAUACAUGUAAGAGACGGUACCUAGCCAGAAAGCCACGGCUAACUACGUG